UAUGCCACCGUGCAGACUGUGGGGAUGACCCUGGCCACUAUCAUGUUCGUGCUGGGCAUCAUCAUCAUCAUCAGCAAGAAGGUUAAGUGCAGGAAGGCGGACUCCAGCCCAACAUGCAAAUCCUGUAAGUCGGAACUGCCCUCCUCAGCCCCUGGAGGUGGCGGUGUGUAGGAUCCUCUGCAGAUUUCCACUGCUGUCCCUGGCCAGAGCGCAGGAGCCUGAGGACCCAGAGAAGGCGGUGGGGACCCAGCCUGGCGCCAGGGAGUGCUCCCCCAAUGAGCCGCCACACCCAUACCAAGGCCGGAGCCAAUGCACCCUGCUCGCUCUCCCUCCCCAGGCCGUGGCAACGACGACGAUCCCCAAAGAGCCUAUUUG
Molecule: long non-coding RNA, 375 nt
Filed under: Rattus norvegicus (Norway rat)
Lineage: Eukaryota; Metazoa; Chordata; Mammalia; Rodentia; Muridae
Description: long non-coding RNA NONRATT002531
Source: RNAcentral